UACGUAGGGGGCAAGCGUUGUCCGGAUUUAUUGGGCGUAAAGAGCUCGUAGGCGGCUUGUCGCGUCGACUGUGAAAUCCCGCGGCUCAACCGCGGGUCUGCAGUCGAUACGGGCAGGCUAGAGUUCGGUAGGGGAGACUGGAAUUCCUGGUGUAGCGGUGAAAUGCGCAGAUAUCAGGAGGAACACCGAUGGCGAAGGCAGGUCUCUGGGCCGAUACUGACGCUGAGAAGCGAAAGCGUGGGGAGCGAACAGG
This 253-nucleotide ribosomal RNA is filed under the name uncultured bacterium. RNAcentral describes it as "partial 16S ribosomal RNA". It matches the Rfam family "Bacterial small subunit ribosomal RNA", at positions 524 to 776 of the family's 1533-position model. The record is from RNAcentral.